RNAcentral lists this ribosomal RNA (271 nucleotides) under uncultured bacterium. RNAcentral's name for it is "partial 16S ribosomal RNA". It matches the Rfam family "Bacterial small subunit ribosomal RNA", at positions 524 to 794 of the family's 1533-position model. The record is from RNAcentral.
GACGAACCGAGCGAACGUUGUUCGGAAUCACUGGGCUUAAAGGGCGCGUAGGCGGGCAUUCAAGUCUGUGGUGAGAUCCGGCAGCUCAACUGUCGAAUUGCCGUGGAAACUGGAUGCCUCGAGGGAGGUAGGGGUGCGCGGAACUGAUGGUGGAGCGGUGAAAUGCGUUGAUAUCAUCAGGAACUCCGGUGGCGAAGGCGGCGCACUGGACCUCUUCUGACGCUGAGGCGCGAAAGCCAGGGGAGCAAACGGGAUUAGAUACCCCAGUAGU